Columba livia (rock pigeon) is the source of this 320-nucleotide long non-coding RNA. RefSeq lists it as uncharacterized. The record is from RefSeq and is a predicted model, not a curated record. The transcript is spliced from 3 exons. NCBI's taxonomy places the organism in Eukaryota, Metazoa, Chordata, Aves, Columbiformes, Columbidae.
CUACAAGAGUGGCUGCCCUUAGUUUUGCCCCUGAGUUGUUGUGGGGAUUUCCUGGGCCCUCUGACCUGGUGUGUACAUUGCCUGAUGCUUGCUGAAUAACUGAUGGGAGAUGUUGCUGUCACCACCCUGCUUCACUCACAAUCUUGACAUGUGUCUGCCUAUGCAAUGACUUGGUUUAUUUCACUGCCACCAGUCAGCUUGGAGGACCCAAGCUCAAGCUCAGACAGUGACUGAAGAGGUGACAGGCUGCAAUGAUUUCCAAGAGGAUUAAGAACUGCAGGUACAGAGGGAUGCUACCAAGGUCUUGCUCUGUCUUGAAG